CCCACACCCACCUCCCCCACUGGUCUUUCGUUCGGCACGUUGCAAAAAUCCUGCCAGUGUUUCUUUUUGGAGCCGGCAGUCUACAAACAAGCGGCGCCGAGGGCGACGGACACUCGUCGUCUCCCGCUCGAGCUGAGGCAUGAAUUUCUACCUCCGGUGACCCUCACGUCUCGACCACGUCUCCAGCAGCUCUGCGCUCUCCUCUCGGUCCGGGGGGGGGUUUCCCCUCAAGAGUAUCAUGUCAGACAUUUGUAAUUCCAACUUGUAGUCACGCUGUCUGGUUCAGGCCCAUCGGGGCGGACGAUGUAUUUAUUUAUUGGCGGCAGCACUGAGCUUCUGCUGUCGAUACAACUGAGACGCUUCAAGCGAUCACUUAAGAGCACCUCUAUUAAUGGGUCACAUUUAAGAAACAAUUUAUAUAUUAAUUCUUCGUACCCCCCCCCCCCCCCCCGUCCCCAUUUGUGAACAAGUUACAUAUCCUCGUAUGAUGUUGUUGUUGGUGUAUGUGACUCGGAUGGUUUAGGUUGAGUGAAUGAAUCACACGGAGAACGAAAAGAGUGUAUUUAAAAAUAUGCUGCUUUGAAUAACUCACAUUUAGACUCCUAGAACAUUCUGCUCACGAAUAUCAGGGAUGACUUUUUUUUUUUUCUAAAUUCAGAACACAGGUGAUAGAGGAAUGAAAGACAACGACGGACCUCCCCUAGUUAAUAAUGGCUCUAAAACGUCUUUUUAUUAUAGUUUCUAAAAACCACCCUUUAGGCUGGCAAAGUAAACAAUGUUAGAGAUUUUUAAUGGCCGUUUCUUUUAAGAAAGGAAAAUAACUAAAUAGUUACAUUUAAGAGACAUAUGACUGAUUAUAAAAAUGCUAUAUAAAUCCAACCCGUCAGCUUAUUCUUCCUCAUUUUGCCUUUGUCCGGUAUCAGUGUGGUACUUGCAUAACAAAACCCACUAAAGACAAUCUGACAAAGCUAGUUAGUGCAUUCAUCAUCAUUCAAAUGCUAAUGCUAUUCUGAAGGAGGAAAUCUUAGACACGCACCCUAUUUGUUCUCAAUAUUCACAAAGCUCGCCAGGUGGGAAUGCCGUCCAGACCUAAAUGUCAAUUUUGCCUUAAAGUACAGAGAUCCAUGUGAAGGGCAGAAAAUCAUUAAAUGUCGGAUAAAUCCAAACAGUUGCCACACGGUUGCUCAACCCACAACAAUAAGUGUGUAGCAAGUGAAGAAGAACUCGUUCCUGGAGGACAUGAAGGUGCCCCUCCCUGCCUUUACGCACUCUCACAUCUGAUACGUUUGCUGCCAAGAGUGCUCCGCAUCUCACUGAUAACAGAUCUCAACGGGUUAAAGGCAUUUAAUCUGUGACAAGCAGUCUCGGCUUUUGUCAGCUAAGUUUGAGUUGACAGGUUUAUCAUGACAGCUUUUAAAGGAAGACGUACGGCAACAAACACAGCGCUUUCAUUCAGGAGACCGUUUGCCACACUGAAAUUAAAAUCAACAUUUUGCAACGUCCGCCAUUGGUCACGUGAGUCGGCCAAGGUAUCGUCCCUCGGGCUCGUUUCCUGGACCUGCCGACGCGUCUUUGUGAAGGUGCGUUGGGAGCAGGGCUUUGACGAAACGACGACGAUGCAGAUAUCACGAGUGAGCGUCCACACCAACUAAUUCGACCUGGUUUCACUCCCACAAAGCCUCGUCCCAAAGUAGUUUGACCAUUAGCGGCAGGUGUAAUGAUACAAAUGAAGAUCCGAUAAGGGGUAGAAGAGGACAUGCUGGUUGUGACUGGGGAGAGUAGACCGGGACAAAGUCACACACAUCUGUUUCCAGAUCUGCUUGGAGUAUUUCUGUCAUGUUUGUGGUCUUACAUUGUACCAUAUCCAUUUAUUUGUUUUGUGCCUUGUUGGAUUAGUUUGAUUGACUCGUUGAUGUAGAAAAAGAAGCCUCGCUAUGUUUCUGUGUGGUAGCAGAAAGUGGUGAGGCCUCUACAGCGCUGAACUACAGAUCAGUUCCCCAAUAUUUCUUUUCUUUCUUAGAUUUUUCAUUUUGUUUGAACUUAUAUCAAUGUAGUUGGUUUACCCAGUUAGGAUUAGGAAGACGGUUUUCUGGUAAAGCUCAUCAGCAGAAUAAUCUGUAGUGAUUGGGACAUUUCUUUUCACACAACUUUACGUGUUAUCCCUUUGUAACCUUUAGGAAACAGUUCAACUGCUUGUUUCAUGUGUGUUUGGGGCUUAGGAGGAGUAUUUUGUGCAAAAUUGAAUCUGUGUUUAAAAAGAAAGAGUAUACCACAUUGGUGUUCAUAUAAUCCACAACAACGACGCUUUUAGCAGGAAGCUUUGUCAUUUUAGCCGUUUCUAUCCAAAAAUGCAUUCUUGAACAAUAUUAGAGCAUAUUAUCUACGGCGGCCUGGACCUGAGACCUUCACUUUGUUCAGCUUUAGGUUCUGCUUCUCUACAUAAAGGCUAUUACGUACUGACUCGUCUCGCCACAAACAAAGGUAUAAUCUGAUUGAUGCAUAGUCUAUGAAUAUCAUGAGCAGUAACAGGUCUAAGCUGUGAACAAAAAAAAGAGAGAAAAACAACAUUGUCUCCCAUUUCGCUGUCUCUGCGAGAGCUGCAAACGGUCCGCGUGUCUGAUGCAUAGAGAGCAGAAUCCGAGUGAUUUCACGCAUUGGUCGGGAGGACGGUCGCCCUUAAGAGCUGUUGGUGUGCGGGUUGCUGUGUGGUCCGAGUGAGCAGAGCGGCACACUGAACGGUGCUUCUGGCCUCGAUGAAUCCAAUCCACCGUGCUGCAGUGUGGGGAAGAAAAGGCUCCAGGCAGGAAAUACGUCUGGGUGCCAAAAAGCAAAUGUAAUUAUUGCCGGUUGGUUUUCUGGGUGAAAACUAUUUUCUGUAUUUUUGUAUAAAUGUAAAGAAACAUAUAUGAGAUAUGAAUAAAGUACAUGUAUUCAACUGUUAUUUAUUUUAAUUUUGUAUUAUUUUUUGUUGUUCAGGACUGUUAAUCAAGCUUUUUGAGUGUGUCACCCUACAAGGUGGGCGGAAGGCUUUUACCAUUUAGAUUAACAUUUCAAUCACAGACCAACACAUGGAGACAACAAUGAAGCCUGGUCAGAUGUGCAGAUGAGGCCUCAGCAGUCUCUGCCCAGUGUUGUAGACUUAGGACCU
This is a long non-coding RNA of Gasterosteus aculeatus aculeatus (three-spined stickleback), 3148 nucleotides long. Lineage: Eukaryota; Metazoa; Chordata; Actinopteri; Perciformes; Gasterosteidae. The record is from Ensembl.